This is a long non-coding RNA of Canis lupus familiaris (dog), 970 nucleotides long. RefSeq lists it as uncharacterized. The transcript is spliced from 3 exons. Lineage: Eukaryota; Metazoa; Chordata; Mammalia; Carnivora; Canidae. The record is from RefSeq and is a predicted model, not a curated record.
UAGACAAAGGUAACCCGGGACUCCCAUCCAAGUCUCUGUGAAUCCAAAACUUAUAUUUGUAACUACUGGCCUCCCUGGCCCUCCUCACUAACAGGUGAGGACAUCAGUUCAAGGGGAGGGGUUUUAUGCACUCCAAGCCACAGGCUUCCUGCUGUUCAAUUCUUCUCUCUUUCUUUUCCUUGGAGACAUCCCGGGAUGUAAAAACUCAAGACGAAUUUCAUCUCUGGGUGGUUUUGCAAGGAGGGAAGAAAUCUUGAUCUAUGUGAUGCUGGUGUCGAUGAGUUGGUCUGUGAUUUACAGAAAAAUUGAGAAGAUAAUACAGAGUCCCCAUAUAUCCAACACUCAGUUGUUUCUACUGUCAUUUCACCAUGAGGAUGGACCUCAUCCAGGAUGUGACAUUACAUUUAGUUGUCACGUCUCCUUAGGAUCCUGUUGCUUGCUACAGUUUCUCAGACUCUUCUUAUUUUUGAUGACCUUGACAAUUUUGAGAGGUAUUGAUCAGGUAUUUUGAAUAUGCCUCCACUGGGAUUUGCCUAAUGCUUUUCCUAUGAUUGGACUGGGGUUAUGGGUUUUGAGGAGGAAGCUCAUGGAGGUAAAGUGCCAUCCUUAUAGCAUCAUACAAAAGAUACAUACAAUAAACAUGACUUAUCACAGUCCAUGUUGACUUUGACCACCCGGCUAAUUUGUUUGUCAGGAUUCUCCACUGUAAAGUUGCUAAUUUUCCCUCUUUCCACACUGUACUCAUAAAUUUUUUUUAUUAUUGAAGUAUAGUUGACAUACAAUGUUAAUAUUAGUUUCAGGUAUAUGACACAGUGGUUUGACAAUUUUGUACAUCACACAACACUCACCAAAAUUAAUUAUAGUUACCAUCUGUCACCAUAUAACAUUAUCACAAAAUUAUUAACUAUAUUCUCCAAGCUGUACAUUCCCAUGACUUAUUUCUUUUACAACUGGAAGUUUGUACUUCUUA